GUUAUGUGCCACGACUGUGUGUUCCUUUAAAUGACAAUAGUGUGUAGAUUGUGCCUUUUUGUUAGUUGCUUUUAAGCAGUAAAACCCUCCUUGUUACUCUAUCUUGCUUUGACCUGCUUGCAACCUGCACUAGCUUUUAAGCAGUCUCACCAACCUUCUAGGUGUACAUCGUCGUCAAUUAAUUCUCCAGCACCAACACCUGUUAUUGGCUAUCACUAGUGACGUUGGAUUGAGAAUAUUCAAAACCGGCAAUUUGCAUCAAUUACACUCAUACUCUUCAAGAAAAUACAGGGUUUUGAUUUCUCUAAUUGUCAAUCCUCAUCCAAGAUCGGUUUUUGAAGCCUGGGAAAUGCGUCAAGGCCUUUUAAAUAGCUUGUUCUCUUCUGACCCUGCCGCUUCAUAUAGGUUGAACUGGUAAUCUACCUCUUCCAAUCAUCCAAAAGAGGCUCCCAGAAGAUCAGCAUUAGCAGCCACCUAUAAAUCGAUCCUUGGGAGGUACCAAAUUCCGCUUAUCCAAGAACCAACUCAGGACAAGAAAACAACACUAAGAAUUCAAUUUACCAAGUACUGCAGCCUCCAAAACCCAUCUAACCUUCACCAUUUGUUGAACUAACCCAGACCCAAAGCUGCACUGAACAAUACCAAAGCUCUAGGUUCUGAUCAGUCUGCUACAAGACUACGGGAACUCAGAAAAUACAUUCGAGCUAAACCAGGCACACUUCAGGUCUGAUCGGGUCAACAGAUGAAGUGUAGCCCCGGUAGUUGUGCUUGUUGGCUUGUAAAUGUUUCUUUAUUCCACGUCUUUUGGUUUUUUUCUUAUUUUUUAUCUUAUAAUUUUGAAACAGGAGAUCUAUUCAACUCGAGGGAUCGGUGGGGGAUUCUUUACUCUCGCUGUGCUGGUUUCAUAAAUACGUGCUGGUGAUGACUGGAAAGUGCUGCAAAGGGUGUUGAAGCAUGCUUGAUGUGUGAAAAUUAUAGUUUGUAAAAGACUAGUUUAUACAAAAGUUGACCUCAAUUGACUUUUCUAGUUUUUUGGUUGGUUUUUGUAGUUUUGCAUAGGUAACUGGAGCUUAUUUUUGAACUGUUAUAUCAGAUGGGAAAACUUAAGUGUAACACGCGCUAAUUGUUGAACUAUUAUAGCAGAUGUGCAAAUUUUAUGAGAUUUUCGAAAUGAAUGCACAUAUUUGCGUAGAAGAACUUGAUCUGUAGUA
Long non-coding RNA from Spinacia oleracea (spinach), 1211 nucleotides. RefSeq lists it as uncharacterized. The transcript is spliced from 3 exons. NCBI's taxonomy places the organism in Eukaryota, Viridiplantae, Streptophyta, Magnoliopsida, Caryophyllales, Amaranthaceae. The record is from RefSeq and is a predicted model, not a curated record.